AGGAAUAUUGGACAAUGGAGGCAACUCUGAUCCAGCCAUGCCGCGUGAAGGAAUAAGGCCCUAUGGGUUGUAAACUUCUUUUAGACGGGACAAAACCCCUUUACGUGUAAAGGGUUGAUGGUACUGUCAGAAUAAGCAUCGGCUAACUUCGUGCCAGCAGCCGCGGUAAUACGAAGGAUGCAAGCGUUAUCCGGAAUUAUUGGGUUUCAAGGGUGCGUAGGCGGACUAAUAAGUCAGUGGUGAAAGCCUGCAGCUUAACUGCAGAAUUGCCAUUGAGACGUUUAGUCUUGAGUACAGUUGAGGUAGGCGGAAUGCGUCAUGUAGCGGUGAAAUGCUUAGAUACGACACAGAACACCGAUUGCGAAGGCAGCUUGCUAAGCUGUAACUGACGCUGAGGCACGAAAGCGUGGGGAGCAAACA
This 420-nucleotide ribosomal RNA is filed under the name uncultured bacterium. Its description in RNAcentral is "bacterial SSU rRNA". It matches the Rfam family "Bacterial small subunit ribosomal RNA", at positions 357 to 774 of the family's 1533-position model. The record is from RNAcentral.